GAUGAAGAACGCAGCGAAAUGCGAUAAGUAAUGUGAAUUGCAGAAUUCAGUGAAUCAUCGAAUCUUUGAACGCACAUUGCGCCCGCCAGUAUUCUGGCGGGCAUGCCUGUUCGAGCGUCAUUACACCCCUCAGGCCCCCGGGCCUGGCGUUGGGGAUCGGCGGAGCCCCCCGUGGGCACACGCCGUCCCCCAAAUACAGUGGCGGUCCCGCCGCAGCUUCCAUCGCGUAGUAGCUAACACCUCGCGACUGGAGAGCGGCGCGGCCACGCCGUAAAACACCCAACUCUUCUGAAGUUGACCUCGAAUCAGGUAGGAAUACCCGCUGAACUUAAGCAUAUCAAUAAGCGGAGGA
Molecule: unclassified non-coding RNA, 352 nt
Filed under: soil metagenome
Description: partial contains 5.8S ribosomal RNA, internal transcribed spacer 2, and large subunit ribosomal RNA
Rfam family: 5.8S ribosomal RNA (bases 1-120)
Source: RNAcentral